CACUGGCUGGACCACGUGUUGGACUUCUUCAGUCCUUUGAACUUCUUCUCGUUCUUUUGUUCCUUGACUUUUUUUGACUUCAAGACAGUACUUAAUAAUUUAAUAAUGUAUAGUACCACUCUCUCUCUAUCUUGUAGGUGAUGUUUCAGAAUUUUUUUAAAAAGAAGGUGCUCGUUGAAGUUGUUGCCAUUAGUUACGAGGAGCCACGCCCACUUGAAACAGACAAGCUGCAAGGGAGAUGAUUUUAGCAGGUGUUGCAUUGAAGCUAAAAUAAAAAUAAAAUCUGUUGAUAGUGUCAGUGCCUAUAUUGAAUCAAAUUUUGCAUGUCAAUCAGUAUUCAGGAGGUUGAUUUGACCUUUGUGUGUUCGGGUGACCUUUCAAACUGAAGCCCAUAUCAUGACCCACAGGAUUGAAUUGA
Molecule: long non-coding RNA, 418 nt
Filed under: Amphimedon queenslandica
Lineage: Eukaryota; Metazoa; Porifera; Demospongiae; Haplosclerida; Niphatidae
Description: uncharacterized LOC109591340, transcript variant X2
Source: RNAcentral